Molecule: transfer RNA, 69 nt
Filed under: Stegodyphus mimosarum
Lineage: Eukaryota; Metazoa; Arthropoda; Arachnida; Araneae; Eresidae
Rfam family: tRNA
About the family: Transfer RNA (tRNA) molecules are approximately 80 nucleotides in length.
Source: Rfam by way of RNAcentral
GCCUUCGUGGUGUAGUGGUCACCACGGCCCGUAUUCGAGAGGUCCGCGGUUCGAGUCCCGGCAAGGGCA